ACGCGGCUGCGCGGUGCGGCAGGAUCUUGCAUCCCCGGGGCCUUAUCGAUCCGAACGGGAGCUGUACCUGGGGAGGCUCGUGGGCCUCUUCAAACGGCGCCCACCUACUUUGUAGGUUUCCCGGGAUCGAAUGAUCCACCGGCUGAGGCGGCCGCGUC
RNAcentral lists this non-coding RNA (158 nucleotides) under Ancalomicrobiaceae bacterium. RNAcentral describes it as "6S RNA". It matches the Rfam family "6S / SsrS RNA". From Rfam's summary of the family: E. coli 6S RNA was the first non coding RNA to be sequenced, but its function was unknown until recently. It consists of 184 nucleotides that fold into an extended hairpin structure with a large single-stranded internal bulge. Lineage: Bacteria; Pseudomonadati; Pseudomonadota; Alphaproteobacteria; Hyphomicrobiales; Ancalomicrobiaceae. The record is from RNAcentral.